UACGUAGGGGGCAAGCGUUGUCCGGAUUCAUUGGGCGUAAAGAGCUCGUAGGCGGCUUGGCAAGUCGGGUGUGAAACCUCCAGGCUCAACCUGGAGACGCCACCCGAUACUGCCAUGGCUAGAGUCCGGUAGGGGACCACGGAAUUCCGCGUGUAGCAGUGAAAUGCGUAGAGAUGCGGAGGAACACUGAUGGCGAAGGCAGCCUCCUGGGAUAACACUGACGCUCAUGCACGAAAGCGUGGGGAGCAAACAGG
This 254-nucleotide ribosomal RNA is filed under the name uncultured bacterium. RNAcentral's name for it is "partial 16S ribosomal RNA". It matches the Rfam family "Bacterial small subunit ribosomal RNA", at positions 524 to 776 of the family's 1533-position model. The record is from RNAcentral.